This is a non-coding RNA of Triticum aestivum (bread wheat), 136 nucleotides long. The record is from Rfam. NCBI's taxonomy places the organism in Eukaryota, Viridiplantae, Streptophyta, Magnoliopsida, Poales, Poaceae.
UGUGUACUCCCUCCGUUCCAAAAUACUUGACUUCCAUUUGUCCAAAAAUGGAUGUACCUAUAUACUAAGACAUGUCUAGAUACAUAUAUAUUUUGACAAAUAGAAGGCAUGUAUUGUGCAAUGGAGGGAGUAGAAU